CCUACGAGCGGCAGCAGUGAGGAAUAUUGGUCAAUGGGCGAGAGCCUGAACCAGCCAAGUCGCGUGAAGGAUGACGGCCCUACGGGUUGUAAACUUCUUUUGUCAGGGAGCAAUUGAGUCCACGUGUGGUCUUAGCGAGAGUACCUGAAGAAAAAGCAUCGGCUAACUCCGUUCCAGCAGCCGCGGUAAUACGGAGGAUGCGACCGUUCUCCGGAUUUCUUGUGUUUCAAGGGUGCGUAGGCGGAAUAUCAAGUCAGCGGUAACAAUUCGGGGCUCAACCCCGUCGUGCCGUUGAAACUGAGGUUCUUGAGUGGGCGAGAAGGAUGCGGAAUGCGGGGUGUAGCGGUGAAAUGCAUAGAUAUCACGCAGAACUCCGAUUGCGAAGGCAGCAUACCGGCGCCCAACUGACGCUGAAGCACGAAAGCGUGGGUAUCGAACAGGAUUAGAUACCCCGGUAGUC
Molecule: ribosomal RNA, 460 nt
Filed under: uncultured bacterium
Lineage: Bacteria
Description: partial 16S ribosomal RNA
Rfam family: Bacterial small subunit ribosomal RNA
Source: RNAcentral